AUUGAACGCUGGCGGCAUGCCUUACACAUGCAAGUCGAACGGCAGCACGGGAGCAAUCCUGGUGGCGAGUGGCGAACGGGUGAGUAAUAUAUCGGAACGUGCCCAGUCGUGGGGGAUAACGCAGCGAAAGCUGUGCUAAUACCGCAUACGAUCUACGGAUGAAAGCGGGGGAUCGCAAGACCUCGCGCGAUUGGAGCGGCCGAUAUCAGAUUAGCUAGUUGGUGAGGUAAAGGCUCACCAAGGCGACGAUCUGUAGCUGGUCUGAGAGGACGACCAGCCACACUGGAACUGAGACACGGUCCAGACUCCUACGGGAGGCAGCAGUGGGGAAUUUUGGACAAUGGGCGAAAGCCUGAUCCAGCAAUGCCGCGUGCAGGAUGAAGGCCUUCGGGUUGUAAACUGCUUUUGUACGGAACGAAACUGUGAGCCCUAAUACAGUUUGCUAAUGACGGUACCGUAAGAAUAAGCACCGGCUAACUACGUGCCAGCAGCCGCGGUAA
This 500-nucleotide ribosomal RNA is filed under the name uncultured bacterium. RNAcentral's name for it is "partial 16S ribosomal RNA". It matches the Rfam family "Bacterial small subunit ribosomal RNA", at positions 30 to 523 of the family's 1533-position model. The record is from RNAcentral.